RNAcentral lists this ribosomal RNA (156 nucleotides) under Ustilago sparti. Its description in RNAcentral is "5.8S ribosomal RNA". It matches the Rfam family "5.8S ribosomal RNA". From Rfam's summary of the family: 5.8S ribosomal RNA (5.8S rRNA) is a component of the large subunit of the eukaryotic ribosome. It is transcribed by RNA polymerase I as part of the 45S precursor that also contains 18S and 28S rRNA. Lineage: Eukaryota; Fungi; Basidiomycota; Ustilaginomycetes; Ustilaginales; Ustilaginaceae. The record is from RNAcentral.
ACUUUUGGCAACGGAUCUCUUGGUUCUCCCAUCGAUAAAAAACGCAUCGAUUUGCGAUAAGUAAUGUGAAUUGCAGAAGUGAAUCAUCGAAUCUUUGAACGCAUCUUGCGCUCCCGGCAGAUCUAAUCUGGGGAGCAUGCCCUUUUGAGGGCCGCG